GAUGAAGAACGCAGCGAAAUGCGAUAAGUAAUGUGAAUUGCAGAAUUCAGUGAAUCAUCGAAUCUUUGAACGCACAUUGCGCCCUUUGGUAUUCCGAAGGGCAUGCCUGUUCGAGCGUCAUUAUCAACCCUCAAGCCUGGCUUGUCAUUGAACCUCUGGUCGUUAAAAGACGGGUUCGAAAGAUAAUGACGGUGUCGCGAUCGACCCUAGAUGCAACGAGCUUCACAGCACGCAUGUUAGUGGCCGGCCGGCCCCGGUCUUAACCUUCUUUCAAUGGUUGACCUCGGAUCAGGUAGGAAUACCCGCUGAACUUAAGCAUAUCAAUAAGCGGAGGA
RNAcentral lists this unclassified non-coding RNA (335 nucleotides) under soil metagenome. RNAcentral describes it as "partial contains 5.8S ribosomal RNA, internal transcribed spacer 2, and large subunit ribosomal RNA". The stretch from base 1 to 120 matches the Rfam family "5.8S ribosomal RNA", at positions 35 to 154 of the family's 154-position model. The record is from RNAcentral.